AAUUGGGCUAUAAUUUUUAUUAACAAAAAGGACAAACACUUUCAAAUGGGUGUUCAUUUAGGUGGAUGCUCUGAUUGGCAUUCUUCUCCACCAUAAAGGAUUACAAGUGGGAAGAGCUCAUUACAAACCACAAUUUUGUCUGCAAACAUGUUCAAACCACUUCAGCGCAGCUGCAAGAUGCAAAUGGUUCGCUCUUCAAGCAUGUAAGCAUGUUUGCACCAAAAAAAUUCGGUAGCAUCUUUUUUUUUUUGAAUCGUAUAUAGCCAAAUGCUCUUUCAGAAUGUCACUGACAUAGGGCAUACAUGGGUUAGAACAAAACAGAUGUUUUCUUAAUACCUUAGGAAGCAUAAUAUAUCCAUUUCAACUUUUCUUUCGAUUACCUGCAUCUGCAUGCUCAGUAUUCAACAUGUCUUCCCAAGCACUUUUACAUUUUUUCUAAUCUGUGCAUGUUGCUCCAUAGCUAGCUUCACCCUCAAAACAAUACAAAUAUAUUUUCAAAGACCAAAAGUGCAGGCAUUCAUGGUGUGGCCUUAUGAUCCAAGGGCAAUAUUAAUGUUAGAAAGGUAAUGAUACACUCUUGACUGAAUUUAAUAGCAGCAUUGAUCUCUUGCAAAAAGAAAUAGAAUCAUGCUAGUAAAUUAUAUGAAGAAUACUUGUCAUGAUUCACUUCCAAAUUAUUGUUGCAGAUAUUCUUUACAACUCCUCAGUUGAAAAUGUCACACAGGGUGAAGUAUCAUAUCAUCUGUGACAAAAUCUAAGAUCCCUCUCUAUUUUCUGGCCUUAAUCUUUAUAGAAGUAUAAGAACUUACCCUAAUAUCAAUUUUGAUUGCUUCAUUUAUUUGUCAGCUUAUAAGACUUAUCGCAAACAAUGAGAAUAUUUUCCAGAAAAAAAUCUAAAAGCAUAUUGUAUUACUGGCCUCCUGAGCAUUCGACCAAAAAAAAAACAGAGGCAAUCAUCUAUUCAUGUGCAGUACUGUGUACGGAUAAAUAGAGCUACAGUACAGGGGUCUUAAGCAAUUCAUUGCCUGGACCCUUAGGGUGUGUUUAGUUCACGCCAAAAUUAGAAGUUUGUUUGAAAUUGAAACGAUGUGACGGAAAAGUUGGAAGUUUGUGUGUAGGAAAGUUUUGAUGUGAUGGAAAAGUUGGAAGUUUGAAGAAAAAUUUUGCAACUAAACACGGCUAAAGAACCAACCUGGUGAAGCAAACAACCGGCGACGCAAGAUUGCCAAUUUCCUUUUCCUCCGAAUGACCAAAGACUGGUACGAAGGGCCAGAAUUGAACGAGGUAGCUAAAAAAAAGGUAACAUAAUCAAACUUUCCAAAAGCAAAGGACAAAGACAAAUUCAAAUCUAGAGAAGUGACGUUUACAUUUCGGGCAAAAGGGGAGUAAAAAUGAAUAUAGUAACGAAGGAAAAGGCAAUUACCUGUUGAUCGUGUUGAUUCACAUGCUGGCCGUGAGGAAGAACUCCUACCACGAAGGAUUGCGGCACGACGAGCUCUAGCAGAUGAUACAGACAGCAUAAACCAAUACGACCAAGUAAGUAUACCCAGUGCCUAAUAAGAUUUCACAAGUAAGAACAUGGAUAUCAUAAUUUUACAGAAACAAGGAGGCGUACGAUCAGUACAACAUUAACACAAUAUAAAUGAAAGAACAGAGCAAGCGUCGGGAGGGAAAAAAAAGAACAAAGAAGAAACAAAUAACGAACCGGUCGUAGAAAGGAAAACAGAAGAGCAAGCACUGAUGCACAGAGUAACCAUAUAAAGGAGAGGGGCAAGAAGGGACAGCAAGCAAGGGCAUGGACACGCAUACAACAAACAAUAGACAUGCAAGCCGACACCUACACCAAUAAACAGUGAAUUAACUCGCCAGCACAACCUGUGAGGACAGUAAAUACCACAGGAGGUCGACACGCACAUGAAUCACCCCCAGUAAAUACCCUGCCUUCAAAGAAGACAACGCACGCAGCAACGAAUCAGCCCACAGGCAGGACAACCGGACAGCAAGGUCGACAAGAAACAUCAGCUCAAUCAACAAAAAAGGCAGGGUAAUGACAACCGCAUAAAUACAUACGGUAGCAGUAAUAACAAAUUAAGACCACUUGACAAAUACACUUGAAAAGUUACCAGCAAUCACAGCAACCUACAUCACCCAAAGAGGGGGGGAUGCCGCUUACAAACGGGAAUUGGGCAGGUCCCAUAAAUAUGACCAUAUGUGUGUUGACCCAUAGUUAUUUUUACCCCUUCCGAACAACGGUACCCUUUUUACUAACUAUGUAAAACUGUAACACUAGAACAAUGUUUAAAAAAUAAAAUAAAAUAUCGCACACAACAGCAAAGAGGGCAAUUUUUCCUACACAAGGGCCUCAUGAAAAGGGAAAUUUUUUACAAGACCCAACACAUGGAAAGGGUAAGCAAGACGCAUUGGGAAAAUUUGCAAGCACAAAAUACAUGUAGGAAAAAAGUAAACAGCAAAAAAUUGAGAAAAGGGCUAAAACCUGCAUACCAUACUGCUUGCUACCACCAAAUACAAGAACAAGUCAAUUUACAUGCAGACCCAUAGAAGAAUCGCAAGAAAAAAAACAAGAAAUCGGCAAGGAGCACUGUGCAGAGCCUAGAAACCGACUACGACAAUCAGCGGGAAUAGAACUAUACCUCACCAAGAGCCAAGAGCUGAGCCAUUAUAAGGAAAGUAGGAACGCCGACAUGCCAAGAACUCAGAUCAGGCUGGGCGGGCGACGGCGACGGUUAGGU
RNAcentral lists this long non-coding RNA (2750 nucleotides) under Oryza sativa (Asian cultivated rice). RNAcentral describes it as "long non-coding RNA (OSAT_LNC001304)". The record is from RNAcentral. Lineage: Eukaryota; Viridiplantae; Streptophyta; Magnoliopsida; Poales; Poaceae.